UUGAACGCUGGCGGCAUGCCUUACACAUGCAAGUCGAACGGUAACGGGUUAAGCCGACGAGUGGCGAACGGGUGAGUAAUAUAUCGGAACGUGCCCAGUCGUGGGGGAUAACGUAGCGAAAGCUACGCUAAUACCGCAUACGAUCUAUGGAUGAAAGCGGGGGAUCGCAAGACCUCGCGCGAUUGGAGCGGCCGAUAUCAGAUUAGGUAGUUGGUGGGGUAAAAGCCCACCAAGCCGACGAUCUGUAGCUGGUCUGAGAGGACGACCAGCCACACUGGGACUGAGACACGGCCCAGACUCCUACGGGAGGCAGCAGUGGGGAAUUUUGGACAAUGGGCGCAAGCCUGAUCCAGCAAUGCCGCGUGCAGGAUGAAGGCCUUCGGGUUGUAAACUGCUUUUGUACGGAACGAAACAGCAAGCUCUAAUAAAGCAUGCGAAUGACGGUACCGUAAGAAUAAGCACCGGCUAACUACGUGCCAGCAGCCGCGGUAAUACGUAGGGUGCAAGCGUUAAUCGGAAUUACUGGGCGUAAAGCGUGCGCAGGCGGUGAUGUAAGACAGAUGUGAAAUCCCCGGGCUCAACCUGGGACCUGCAUUUGUGACUGCAUCGCUAGAGUACGGUAGAGGGGGAUGGAAUUCCACGUGUAGCAGUGAAAUGCGUAGAUAUGUGGAGGAACACCGAUGGCGAAGGCAGCCCCCUGGGUCAAGACUGACGCUCAUGCACGAAAGCGUGGGGAGCAAACA
RNAcentral lists this ribosomal RNA (743 nucleotides) under uncultured soil bacterium. RNAcentral's name for it is "bacterial SSU rRNA". It matches the Rfam family "Bacterial small subunit ribosomal RNA", at positions 29 to 774 of the family's 1533-position model. The record is from RNAcentral.